GGCAAGAUGGUUGGUGAUGGUUGGAUUCUGCCUGUCCUGCCUGCUCUGAGCACUAAGCUACCAUGCCAGCAGCUUUCAUUAGACAAGCAGAAGCUAAGUGACCUUAUGAACGCUUUUCUUCUCUUACAGGUAUUUAUGUUUGGCCAAUAGGUCCAAAAUUAUGUUGGUGAGAUCAGACAGAAAGAUGGAGAGGCAGCCAGCCUCCUGUGGCCCAUGAGGUUAAGGAUGGAGCUGGAAACAGAAAGGAACAGGAAACGGAGGCAGUUGGGAGUUCCAACAAUAGAAAGCCUCCAGCCGAGCAGCAGGGAGGAAAGGAAGAGCUGGGGCUCAGUCACUCAAACCGACCCACGUGCCCAGGUUGUUGCCCUCAAAACCUCACUGCCUGUUAUGCCACUGCUGAGAUCAUGAUCUUGGAAGAAAGCAGAUGAGGAUUGUGAAUGAGCAGAAGCUGUGAGUAUCUCUCCGAGAGACGAAUAAAAGUUAUUGUAUUAUAGAAGAUCACAGCAGAGUCUAAAGAGAAACGUGGAAGUGGCACCGUGUGUACUACGCAGAUCCCCAACAUACUGGAAUAAUACACUCACCUUGUCCACAAUGCAGAUCUGCUUCUUGCUUUGCACAUCAAGGAUCUCCACUUCAAAGUAAGUGAUUUUUGAAUGUUUGAGCACUGGUGGUGGUUUGAAAUGGCCAGCAGAAAGCACCAGCUGAGAGAAGUUGAAAAAAGUGCGCGUGUUUUGUGACAUGGACAGAGGUCCUCCAUGAGCUGAAAGAUCCUUCUUGAGUUCCGAGGCGCUGGUCUUCCUUCUCCUGAGCAUUGUAUGACCCAGCAACAGCUACUGUCAUGUCAAUAGGGGACAGUUCCAGGGGGAAGCCUUCCUUCCCCGCAUCAGUUAAAUACAAUCACGGACUGAUGAGACAUGAAAGGUCAAGUGGUGUUCCAUUUUAAGAGUACUGUCAUAUUUAGCAGGAGUGAAAACAAUGGCUCCAUAAUCCAAGUCUAUAUUUAACCAGCUAUUGUGAUGUGCCGUAUGUCUGGCUUUUUUUCUCCCUUUUAAUUUAAACCAGCGUUUGAAACAACACAUUGUACUUUUUCCCUAGCACGUUAAGUCAGAUCCCAAAAUUCCAGAGCCCCGGAGAAAUCAGAAAUGAAUGCACUGAAUUCCAUUGUUAUCUACUGAG
Molecule: long non-coding RNA, 1176 nt
Organism: Meleagris gallopavo (turkey)
Lineage: Eukaryota; Metazoa; Chordata; Aves; Galliformes; Phasianidae
Source: RefSeq, a predicted model, not a curated record